RNAcentral lists this long non-coding RNA (1171 nucleotides) under Felis catus (domestic cat). RNAcentral's name for it is "lncRNA (ENSFCAG00000049259.1)". The record is from RNAcentral. Lineage: Eukaryota; Metazoa; Chordata; Mammalia; Carnivora; Felidae.
CUUUUCCUAAAAAUACUGUAAAAAGCAGGAGGAGCCAAGAUGGUGGAACAGCAUGGAAGUUUUUUUGUGUGUCUUGUGUCCAUGAAAUACGGCCAGACCCACACUAAACCAUCCUGCACACCUAGAAAACUGAUUGGAGGAUUAAGACAACAGUCUGCACAACCUGAACCACAGAAUUCAGCAGGGGACUUGACUCUCAUUAAAGUGAAAAGGGACAUGAACUGAAUUUUCAUAGAGUUCCUGGACAAACUGCAAGAAAGACACAGGCAGAAGAGACAUGGUACGGUGAUGUAAGAGUCAGGGGAAAGACAGGAGGGCAGAGAUUUUGCAGGUUAAUACUUUAUAAAAGAUGUGCAUGGCUAACUUAUGGAAUUUUGGCUGCAACUUCCAACCAGAAAUAUGGAUGGUUCACUAGGCUGGCAUGCACAGAAGCAAAAUCUCCCAGCCCAAAAUGUGUCUCUUUGCAUGUGGAUUAUUUUAAGCUAAAUACUUUUUUGUUUUAUUUUAGAGAGAGUGUGUGAGCAGGGGAGAGGGGCAGAGACAGACAGACAGACAGAGAGAAUCCCAACAAGGCUCCAUGCCCAGCACAGAGCCCGACACAGGGCUCGAUCCCAUGACCCUGGGAUCGUGAACUUAGCCGAAACCAAGAAAUGGACGCUCAACCAACUGAGCCACCCGGGCACUCCCAACCUGAUUAUUAUUAUUUAAAAAAAAUUUUUUGUUCAUUUAUUUUUGAGAGAGAGAGAGGGAGAGACAGAGCACAAGUGAGAGAGAGAAGGAGAUAGAGAAUCCAAAGCAGGCUCCAGGCUCUGAGCUGUCAGCACAGAGCCCGACGUGGGCCUUGAACUCACAGACUGCAAGAUCAUGACCUGAGCUGAAGUCAGACACUUAACUGACUGAGCCACCCAGGCUCCCCUAAGCUGAUUAUUUUUAAGAACAGAAAAGUCAGGAAGAAACUUUGACCUUUCCCCUAACUACCUGAAAAUUUGUUUGAUAGAGGACUGGCUGGCUCCAGGAAGGAAGGCACUACCACAGACAACUACAGUAUAAUAUGAAGAAAGUAUGAUAGACUGGGAGGAACCUAGCAAGGCCUAUUUGAUCAAAGUCCUUUCUAUGUCCCAUUGUUUCUGGAUGGCCCCACAAACAUGUUUCCUAAACAUUUACUCUUUCC